This 252-nucleotide ribosomal RNA is filed under the name uncultured Nocardioides sp. RNAcentral's name for it is "partial 16S ribosomal RNA". It matches the Rfam family "Bacterial small subunit ribosomal RNA", at positions 526 to 777 of the family's 1533-position model. Lineage: Bacteria; Bacillati; Actinomycetota; Actinomycetes; Propionibacteriales; Nocardioidaceae. The record is from RNAcentral.
CGUAGGGUCCGAGCGUUGUCCGGAAUUAUUGGGCGUAAAGGGCUCGUAGGCGGUCUGUUGCGUCGGGAGUGAAAACUUACAGCUUAACUGUGAGCGUGCUUCCGAUACGGGCAGACUUGAGGUAUUCAGGGGAGAACGGAAUUCCUGGUGUAGCGGUGAAAUGCGCAGAUAUCAGGAGGAACACCGGUGGCGAAGGCGGUUCUCUGGGAAUAUCCUGACGCUGAGGAGCGAAAGUGUGGGGAGCGAACAGGA